Molecule: long non-coding RNA, 168 nt
Organism: Bufo bufo (common toad)
Lineage: Eukaryota; Metazoa; Chordata; Amphibia; Anura; Bufonidae
Exons: 3
Source: RefSeq, a predicted model, not a curated record
CGAGGAUCGCGACGGAUGAGGAAGCAGCGGCACGAGCGGCAGGAUUGUUUCUCCGACUACCCACCAGCGACACAAAGAGUUUAUAAUCAUCCAUUGGAUAUAUACACAGAAUCAGUGUCAUAUUGUUAUUUCCCAAAACUAAAAUAAUAUACAUAGUUAUAUUAUUAU